UUUCCAGACUCCUACGGGAGGCAGCAGUGAGGAAUAUUGGUCAAUGGGCGAGAGCCUGAACCAGCCAAGUCGCGUGAGGGAAGACGGUCCUACGGAUUGUAAACCUCUUUUGUCAGGGAGCAAGGAGCGCCACGAGUGGUGCGGCGAGAGUACCUGAAGAAAAAGCAUCGGCUAACUCCGUGCCAGCAGCCGCGGUAAUACGGAGGAUGCGAGCGUUAUCCGGAUUUAUUGGGUUUAAAGGGUGCGCAGGCGGAAGCGGCAAGUCAGCGGUCAAAUCGCGGGGCUCAACCCCGCCCAGCCGUCGGAACUGCCGGGCUAGAGUGGGCGAGAAGUGCGCGGAAUGCGUGGUGUAGCGGUGAAAUGCAUAGAUAUCACGCAGAACUCCGAUUGCGAAGGCAGCGCACCGGCGCCCUACUGACGCUCAGGCACGAAAGCGUGGGUAUCGAACAGGAUUAGAUACCCGAGUAUC
Molecule: ribosomal RNA, 469 nt
Filed under: uncultured bacterium
Lineage: Bacteria
Description: bacterial SSU rRNA
Rfam family: Bacterial small subunit ribosomal RNA
Source: RNAcentral